CACACGGUCUGCGUGUGGGCGUGUGGUGAGCGCGGUUCGGUUGGUAGGUUGGCAGGCGAGCUGGCUGGUCGUUGUCGCCGCAACUGCUGGCUGGCUGGCUGGCUGGCUGGCUGACUGGCUAGGCGGUGGGUUGGCGGGACGGCUGGGUGGUUUGCUUGCUGGCUGGGCUGGCUGGUGCGAUGCUGCACUACUACUGCUUGCGUGCAGUGAGCGUGUGUUGGCAGGGAUUGUGUUGCCGUGGCCAUGAAGAAGCACUGUCGUGUCAAGCUGGCAAGGCGAUGGUGUCACCUUUGAGCCAUGUCUGUGGUGUAACAGCUACAGGUGUGGACGGGUGUUGGGCAGCGCUCUGCACACGUUGUGGAGUCUGUCGGCUCGUCUGCAUGCCUUUGGAUGCCCUUAAAAAGGUGUCUGCGGGCGGAUGGCACGUUUACUUUGAACAAAUUUGAGUGCUCAAAUCAGGCCGAUGUUGCCUGAAAAGUUUUGCAUGGAAUAAUGGAAUAGGACUUCGGUUCUAUUUCGUUGGUUUUCGGAUCCGAAGUAAUGAUCAAAAGAGACAGGCGGGGACGUUUGUAUGGCUGCGCUAGAGGUGAAAUUCAUGGACCGUAGCCAGACAGACUAAAGCGAAAGCAUUCGUCAAGCAUGUUUUCAUUGGCCAUGAGCGAAAGUCAGAGGCUCGAAGACGAUCAGAUACCGUCCUAGUUCUGACCAUAAACGAUGCCAACUGACGAUCCGUGGUGGUAGUAGUGUUACCUUCCCCACGGGCAGUCCCCGGGAAACCUUUAAGUGUUUGGGUUCCGGGGGAAGUAUGGUUGCAAAGCUGAAACUUAAAGGAAUUGACGGAAGGGCACCACCAGGAGUGGAGCCUGCGGCUUAAUUUGACUCAACACGGGAAAACUCACCCGGGCCGGACACUGUGAGGAUUGACAGAUUGAGAGCUCUUUCUUGAUUUGGUGGUUGGUGGUGCAUGGCCGUUCUUAGUUGGUGGAGCGAUUUGUCUGGUUAAUUCCGAUAACGAACGAGACUCCAACCUGCUAAUUAGUGCGUUUGUCCACUGCGCCUGCGUAGGUGACGCUGGAUGACACCACCUGUCACGAGGACGUGGCAGCGGCUCUUCUCUCCCCUUCUCCGCUCGAAUGCCCUCCAGCGCCUCCUCCUCCUCCUCCUCUCCUCCCCCUUCUUCAGCGCCUCAUCUGGCCGGCUGGCUGGCUGGCCGGGUGAGGCGGUGGUGGCGGUGGCGGUGGUGAGGGCGAUGGGGUGGGGAUGGUGCGGGUGGGCGAGUGGAUUGUGGUGGAGGCGUGGGGUUGGGUGCGGCGCUCGUGGCCGGUUAGUCUGGCGUUGGCCUCCGGGUGUGGCGCGAAUGCCUACUUCUUAGAGGGACAAGCGGGAGAAGCCGCACGAAAUAGAGCAAUAACAGGUCUGUGAUGCCCUUAGAUGUCCGGGGCCGCACGCGCGCUACAAUGACGGUGUCAGCGAGUCAGGCCUUCUGGCCCGAAAGGGUUGGGCAAACUGGUCAAUCACCGUCGUGACAGGGAUCGGGGCUUGGAAUUGUUCCCCGUGAACGAGGAAUUCCUAGUAAGUGCAAGUCAUAAGCUUGCGCUGAUUACGUCCCUGCCCUUUGUACACACCGCCCGUCGCUACUACCGAUUGAAUGGUUUAGUAAGGUCCUCGGAUUGGCGUCAUUGCGACGGUGGCCGAGAGGUCACAGCCCGAGGGGCGCUGAGAAGACGACCGAACUUGAUCAUUUAGAGGAAGUAAAAGUCGUAACAAGGUUUCCGUAGGUGAACCUGCGGAAG
RNAcentral lists this ribosomal RNA (1793 nucleotides) under Taenia multiceps. Its description in RNAcentral is "SSU rRNA". The stretch from base 286 to 1793 matches the Rfam family "Eukaryotic small subunit ribosomal RNA". The record is from RNAcentral. Lineage: Eukaryota; Metazoa; Platyhelminthes; Cestoda; Cyclophyllidea; Taeniidae.